Molecule: unclassified non-coding RNA, 371 nt
Filed under: soil metagenome
Description: partial contains 5.8S ribosomal RNA, internal transcribed spacer 2, and large subunit ribosomal RNA
Rfam family: 5.8S ribosomal RNA (bases 1-120)
Source: RNAcentral
GAUGAAGAACGCAGCGAAAUGCGAUAAGUAAUGUGAAUUGCAGAAUUCAGUGAAUCAUCGAAUCUUUGAACGCACAUUGCGCCCCCUGGAAUUCCGGGGGGCAUGCCUGUUCGAGCGUCUCAGGGACGAACCCUCGCGCGGGUGUACGCGCGGUCGUGGCUGCGGUGGCGUGCCCGAGGCGGCGGCCACCGCGCUGGAAUCCAUGGGCGGACGCCUGCCGCGUGGCCGAGCGUGAUAUGCCGCAUUGGCGCUCGCACGCGGCGAGGCUGCCAGCCCUGGCCCGUCUGUCGGGCGGGGGAGAGCAAGACACGUGAACUCCUCGAAUCAGGUAGGGAUACCCGCUGAACUUAAGCAUAUCAAUAAGCGGAGGA